UGAGUACGAGAUGCUACGGCAUCGAAGCAGUCUAUGUCAUACUUCCAAGAAAAGCUUGCAAUGUCAUAAACAAAUAAUGCCUGUACCAUAACCGACACAGGUGGGUAGGUAGAGUAUACUAAGGGGCGCGAGAUAACUCUCUCUAAGGAACUCGGCAAAAUGACUCCGUAACUUCGGGAGAAGGAGUGCCUUAUUUUUAUAAGGUUGCAAUAACAAGAUCCAAGCAACUGUUUACCAAAAACACAGGUCUCCGCUAAGUCGUAAGACGAUGUAUGGGGGCUGACGCCUGCCCAGUGCCAGAAGGUUAAAGAAGUUGGUUAGCAUUAGCGAAGCUGAUAACUGAAGCCCUGGUGAACGGCGGCCGUAACUAUAACGGUCCUAAGGUAGCGAAAUUCCUUGUCGGGUAAAUUCCGACCCGCACGAAAGGCGUAAUGAUUUGGAUACUGUCUCGGAGAGGGGCUCGGUGAAAUAGACUUGUCUGUGAAGAUGCGGACUACCUGCACCUGGACAGAAAGACCCUAUGAAGCUUUACUGUAACUUGAGAUUGAAAUUGGACUUUAUCUGCGCAGUAUAGGUGGGAGACGUUGAAAAUAUUCUUGCGGGAAUAUUGGAGUCAUCAGUGAGAUACCACUCUUAUAAUGUUAGAUUUCUAACUUUGUAUCAUUAUCUGGUCAAAGAACAGUUUCAGGCGGGCAGUUUGACUGGGGCGGUCGCCUCCCAAACGGUAACGGAGGCGCACAAAGGUUUCCUCUGAACGUGUAGAAAUCGUAUCUAGAGUGUAAAGGCAUAAGGAAGCUUGACUGUGAGACCUACAAGUCGAGCAGGGACGAAAGUCGGUCUUAGUGAUCUGACGGUGCUGAGUGGAAAGGCCGUCACUCAACGGAUAAAAGUUACUCUAAGGAUAACAGGCUGAUCUCCCCCAAGAGUUCACAUCGACGGGGAGGUUUGGCACCUCGAUGUCGGCUCAUCGCAUCCUGGGGCGGUAGUACGUCCCAAGGGUUGGGCUGUUCGCCCAUGAAAGCGGUACGCGAGCUGGGUUCAGAACGUCGUGAGACAGUUCGGUCCAUAUCCGGUGUAGGCGUUAGAAUAUUGAGAGGAGCCUUCUUUAGUACGAGAGGACCGAGAAGGACAUACCUCUGGUGUACCAGUUAUCGUGCCAACGGUAAACGCUGGGUAGCCAUGUAUGGAGAGGAUAACCGCUGAAAGCAUCUAAGUGGGAAGCCCACCUCAAGAUAAG
Molecule: ribosomal RNA, 1237 nt
Filed under: metagenome
Description: bacterial LSU rRNA
Rfam family: Bacterial large subunit ribosomal RNA
Source: RNAcentral